This 798-nucleotide long non-coding RNA is filed under the name Equus asinus (donkey). RNAcentral's name for it is "lncRNA (ENSEASG00005037832.1)". The record is from RNAcentral. Lineage: Eukaryota; Metazoa; Chordata; Mammalia; Perissodactyla; Equidae.
CUCCCAUUGUGGCCACGAGAUAGCUGCUGUGGCUGCAGACAGCACAUCCUCUCUGCUCCAACUCGGGAGCCUCUGCCCCGUGUCCCAUCGAAAAGUGUCAUGGGUUCUCAUUGGUUCUGACUGGGGCACAUACCCACCUGGGUCACUUCAUAUGGCCUGGGGAAUCCAGUGGACUGGCUUAGGACAGGGUCAUGUGCUCCCCUGGGGAGGGAGAUUGAGAGUGGAGCAGGGGUGACAUCCCCACAAGAAUCAGGAUGCAGUUUGCAGGAGAAGAGAAAAUCAGUGCUGGAAAGCCAAAAAAAAGCAACAAGGCAACAUUACUACUGUUCAUAACAACAGUUGUAAGUCACUCUCAGCCUCACACUUGCUGGGUCCUGUGUAUCCCCACCCCACUGGGCUUGAGACCUUCGAUAGCGAAGAGGAGUUCUGCUCUGCCAACAGAAAAACCGGAGGCAGCAGGGGAGGGAGGAGCUGGCUGUUCCUCCUCAACCCAAGUUGGCUGCUCCCUGCGCAGGGAGGUUGGCACCUGCGGGCCCGGGGUCUCCGCGGGGAAGCUGGCCCAGGCGCCUGCUCCGGGCAGCUGUGGCCGUAACUCUCCACCUCAGUCAGCUCGGCUGCUGUGACAGAAUCUCACAGACGGGCGGCUCAGACAUCAGCCGUUCACUCCUCACAGCCCCGGAGGCUGCGGGUCCAGGACCAAGGUGGCCGCCCGCUCCUUGCCAGCAAAUUUCUGAUACAUAGCGUCAGGAAGCUCACCUUGAAGAUAAGAGAAAGAAAGAGAAAAGCUGCCUUCCUGCC